Molecule: ribosomal RNA, 369 nt
Filed under: uncultured phototrophic eukaryote
Lineage: Eukaryota
Description: SSU rRNA
Rfam family: Bacterial small subunit ribosomal RNA
Source: RNAcentral
UACGGGGGAUGCAAGCGUUAUCCGGAAUCAUUGGGCGUAAAGCGCCUGUAGGUUGUUUAGUAAGUCUGUUGUUAAAGACUAGGGCUUAACCCUAGAGAAGCAAUGGAAACUAUUAAACUAGAGUAUGGCAGGGGUAGAGGGAAUUUCUAGUGUAGCGGUGAAAUGCGUAGAUAUUAGAAAGAACACCAAUGGCGAAAGCACUCUACUGGACCAUUACUGACACUCAGAGGCGAAAGCUAGGGUAGCAAAAGGGAUUAGAUACCCCUGUAGUCCUAGCCGUAAACGAUGGAUACUAGAUGUUGUGUAUUGUACACAGUAUCGUAGCUAACGCGUUAAGUAUCCCGCCUGGGGAGUACGCUCGCAAGGGUG